This 498-nucleotide ribosomal RNA is filed under the name uncultured bacterium. RNAcentral's name for it is "partial 16S ribosomal RNA". It matches the Rfam family "Bacterial small subunit ribosomal RNA", at positions 28 to 523 of the family's 1533-position model. The record is from RNAcentral.
GUUGAACGCUGGCGGCAUGCCCUACACAUGCAAGUCGAACGGUAACAGGUCUUCGGAUGCUGACGAGUGGCGAACGGGUGAGUAAUACAUCGGAACGUGCCUAGUAGUGGGGGAUAACUACUCGAAAGAGUGGCUAAUACCGCAUGAGAUCUACUGAUGAAAGCAGGGGAUCGCAAGACCUUGUGCUACUAGAGCGGCCGAUGGCAGGUUAGGUAGUUGGUGGGCUAAAAGCUUACCAAGCCGACGAUCUUUAGCUGGUCUGCGAGGACGAUCAGCCACACUGGGACUGAGACACGGCCCAGACUCCUACGGGAGGCAGCAGUGGGGAAUUUUGGACAAUGGGCGAAAGCCUGAUCCAGCAAUGCCGCGUGCAGGAUGAAGGCCUUCGGGUUGUAAACUGCUUUUGUACGGAACGAAAAGCCCCGGGUUAAUACCCUGGGGUCAUGACGGUACCGUAAGAAUAAGCACCGGCUAACUACGUGCCAGCCGCCGCGGUAA